CUUCGGGUGAAGGAACUAGGCAAAAUAGCACCGUAACUUCGGGAGAAGGUGCGCCUCUUCUGGUUAAUAGCUGGGGGAGGCCGAAGUGAUCAGGCCGCUGCGACUGUUUAUCAAAAACACAGCACUCUGCAAACACGAAAGUGGACGUAUAGGGUGUGACGCCUGCCCGGUGCUGGAAGGUUAAUUGAUGGGGUCAGCCGCAAGGCGAAGCUCUUGAUCGAAGCCCCAGUAAACGGCGGCCGUAACGAUAACGGUCCUAAGGUAGCGAAAUUCCUUGUCGGGUAAGUUCCGACCUGCACGAAUGGCGUAACGACAGCGGCGCUGUCUCCACCCGAGACUCAGUGAAAUUGAAAUCGCUGUGAAGAUGCAGCGUACCCGUGGCAAGACGGAAAGACCCCGUGAACCUUUACUAUAGCUUUACAUUGAACGUUGAGUUCGUCUGUGUAGGAUAGGUGGGAGGCUUUGAAGCGAUGGCGCUAGCUGUCGUGGAGCCAACCUUGAAAUACCACCCUGUCGUGCUUGACGUUCUAACCUAGCUCCGUAAUCCGGAGCGGGGACCAUGUAUGGUGGGUAGUUUGACUGGGGCGGUCUCCUCCCAAAGAGUAACGGAGGAGCACGAAGGUACGCUCAGCGCGGUCGGACAUCGCGCACUGUGUGCAAAGGCAUAAGCGUGCUUGACUGCGAGAUCGACGGAUCAAGCAGGUACGAAAGUAGGUCUUAGUGAUCCGGUGGUUCUGUAUGGAAGGGCCAUCGCUCAACGGAUAAAAGGUACUCCGGGGAUAACAGGCUGAUACCGCCCAAGAGUUCAUAUCGACGGCGGUGUUUGGCACCUCGAUGUCGGCUCAUCACAUCCUGGGGCUGUAGUCGGUCCCAAGGGUAUGGCUGUUCGCCAUUUAAAGUGGUACGCGAGCUGGGUUCAGAACGUCGUGAGACAGUUCGGUCCCUAUCUGCCAUGGGCGUUGGAGAUUUGAGAGGGGCUGCUCCUAGUACGAGAGGACCGGAGUGGACGAACCUCUGGUGUUCCGGUUGUCACGCCAGUGGCACUGCCGGGUAGCUACGUUCGGAAGCGAUAACCGCUGAAAGCAUCUAAGCGGGAAGCGCGCCUCAAGAUGAGAUCUCCCGGGACACAAGUCCCCUAAAGGAACGAUGAAGACUACGUCGUUGAUAGGUCAGGUGUGUAAGUGCAGUAAUGCAUUGAGCUAACUGAUACUAAUGAUCCGUGCGGCUUGACC
This 1232-nucleotide ribosomal RNA is filed under the name metagenome. Its description in RNAcentral is "bacterial LSU rRNA". It matches the Rfam family "Bacterial large subunit ribosomal RNA", at positions 1698 to 2925 of the family's 2925-position model. The record is from RNAcentral.